RNAcentral lists this ribosomal RNA (253 nucleotides) under uncultured bacterium. RNAcentral's name for it is "partial 16S ribosomal RNA". It matches the Rfam family "Bacterial small subunit ribosomal RNA", at positions 524 to 776 of the family's 1533-position model. The record is from RNAcentral.
UACGGAGGGUGCGAGCGUUAAUCGGAAUUACUGGGCGUAAAGCGCGCGUAGGCGGACUAGAAAGUUGGGGGUGAAAUCCCGGGGCUCAACCUCGGAACUGCAUUUGAAACUGGUAGUCUAGAGUAUUGUAGAGGGUGGUGGAAUUUCCAGUGUAGCGGUGAAAUGCGUAGAGAUUGGAAGGAACAUCAGUGGCGAAGGCGGCCACCUGGACAAAUACUGACGCUGAGGCACGAAAGCGUGGGGAGCGAACAGG